This 806-nucleotide ribosomal RNA is filed under the name uncultured bacterium. RNAcentral's name for it is "bacterial SSU rRNA". It matches the Rfam family "Bacterial small subunit ribosomal RNA", at positions 37 to 824 of the family's 1533-position model. The record is from RNAcentral.
UGGCGGAGGCCUAACACCUGCAGUCUGGGCGGUACACAGUGGAGCUUGCUCCUGGGUGACGAGCGGCGGACGGGUGAGUAAUGUCUGGGAAACUGCCUGAUGGAGGGGGAUAACUACUGGAAACGGUAGCUAAUACCGCAUAAUGUCGCAAGACCAAAGAGGGGGACCUUCGGGCCUCUUGCCAUCAGAUGUGCCCAGAUGGGAUUAGCUAGUAGGUGGGGUAACGGCUCACCUAGUGCGACGAUCCCUAGCUGGUCUGAGAGGAUGACCAGCCACACUGGAACUGAGACACGGUCCAGACUCCUACGGGAGGCAGCAGUGGGGAAUAUUGCACAAUGGGCGCAAGCCUGAUGCAGCCAUGCCGCGUGUAUGAAGAAGGCCUUCGGGUUGUAAAGUACUUUCAGCGAGGAGGAAGGCGUUAGGGUUAAUAACCCUGGCGAUUGACGUUACUCGCAGAAGAAGCACCGGCUAACUCCGUGCCAGCAGCCGCGGUAAUACGGAGGGUGCAAGCGUUAAUCGGAAUUACUUGGGCGUAAAGCGCACGCAGGGCGGGUCUGUCAAGUCGGGAUGUGAAAUCCCCGGGCUCUACCUGGAACUGCAUUCGAAACUGGCAGGCUAGAGUCUUGUACGAGGGGGGGUAGAAUUCCACGAGUGUAAGCGGGUGAAAUGGCGUAAGACUCUGCAAGGAAUACACGGUGGCAAAGCGGGCCCCUUGCAAAAAACUCUCGAUCCUACGGUUGCAAAUCGUUGGGACCAACGGGUUACUACCCUGGUAUCCCCCUCCGUAACAAUGUCAAUUGGAGGUU